GAUGAAGAACGCAGCGAAAUGCGAUAAGUAAUGCGAAUUGCAGAAUCCGUGAGUCAUCGAAUCUUUGAACGCACAUUGCGCCCUUUGGUAUUCCGAAGGGCAUGCCUGUUCGAGCGUCAUUAUCACCACUCAAGCCCGGCUUGCUGUUGGUGGCAGCGCAGCCGGUCAACCGGCUACGCUCCACCCAAAGAUAAUGACGGCGUCUGCGAGGACUCCUGUACAUUGAGCUUUCGGGCACGUACAUGGCUAGAAGUCCAGGCGCCGGUCGACGUCCUCCGGGACACUUUUUACCAAGGUUGACCUCGGAUCAGGUAGGGAUACCCGCUGAACUUAAGCAUAUCAUAAGCGGAGGA
This 353-nucleotide unclassified non-coding RNA is filed under the name soil metagenome. RNAcentral's name for it is "partial contains 5.8S ribosomal RNA, internal transcribed spacer 2, and large subunit ribosomal RNA". The stretch from base 1 to 119 matches the Rfam family "5.8S ribosomal RNA", at positions 35 to 154 of the family's 154-position model. The record is from RNAcentral.